This 496-nucleotide long non-coding RNA is filed under the name Bemisia tabaci. RNAcentral's name for it is "lncRNA ENSSSA1NGG005173". Lineage: Eukaryota; Metazoa; Arthropoda; Insecta; Hemiptera; Aleyrodidae. The record is from RNAcentral.
CCAUAUAUCUGAAUGCUUGAAUUCGUACCUUGUCUGGUGGUCCAUUCAGCCAACUGAUUUUCUUAUUGAAUUUUUUUUAGAGUGAGGAUUCAAGGAGAUAGAAUAAGCGAUUAUGUGACCGAGAUUGAUCGGAUCCUGUCCCAAGGAUUACCAGAGCUACUAAUGUGUUUCUUACCCAACAACAAGCAGAUCGGUACGCGGCAAUAAAGAAGAAAUGCUACGUAGACCGCGCAGUGGCAAACCAGGUUAUAUUGGACAGAAACUACCCAAAACAAAGGCGCGCUGAGUAUUGCCACCAAGGUAGCCAUUCAAGUUAAUUGCAAGAUGGGUGGUGCUCCUUGGGCUGUGCCAGUCCCUCUGAAGGUGAGUAACUGUCUCAAAAAUAGAGCCGGUAAACUGUAAGCGUUAUCAGUUGCCAGGAGACUUGUAAGUAAAAGGGACGUAAUGCUUAAUUUCAGUUAUUUCUCAUGGUCCAGUUACACGAUCAAAUUGAGCC